CUCUUGAAACACGGACCMAGGAGUUUAAUAUCUACGCGAGUUAUUGGACUAUAAAUCCAAAAGCGCAGUGAAGGCACGUAGCUUUGAACCUGUCAAACAACGGGUACAUUAGCAGGUCGUCUUAAAUGUUUACAUUUGGGCGAAUCAAGAGCGUAGAUAUUAAGACCCGAAAGAUGGUGAACUAUGCUUGUGCAGAUUGAAGCCAGAGGAAACUCUGGUGGAGGAUCAAAGCGGUUCUGACGUGCAAAUCGAUCGUCAGACAUGAGUAUAGGGGCGAAAGACUAAUCGAACCAUCUAGUAGCUGGUUCCCUCCGAAGUUUCCCUCAGGAUAGCAGACAUUAGCCACAGUUUUUUUCGGUAAAGCUAAUGAUUAGAGGGAUCGGGAAUAAAAUGUUCUCAACCUAUUCUCAAACUUUAAAUGGAAGAGARCAGGGCUCACUUAAGUGGAGUCAUACAUGAAAUGGUAAUGUUUAGUGGGCCAUUUUUGGUAAGCAGAACUGGCGCUGUGGGAUGAACCAAAAGUUGAUUUAGAUCGUCUAAGAUAGACGCUCAUGAGAUACCACAAAAGGUGUUGGUUGGUAUAGACAGCAGGACGGUGGCCACGGAAGUCGGCAUCCGCUAAGGAGUGUGUAACAACUCACCUGCCGAAUCAACCAGCCCUGAAAAUUGAUGACGCUGAAGCGUUGUUGAUUAUAAUCAACUUGUACGGCAGACAUAUAUGAUGUCYUACAAAGUAGGAGGGUCAAUGUAAUGGCUAUGAAGUUGUGAUCAUGAGAUCAGGUGGAGCCGUUACAUGCGCAGAUCUUGGUAGCAGUAGCACUUACUCGGCCUGAGAAC
RNAcentral lists this ribosomal RNA (837 nucleotides) under Kronborgia isopodicola. RNAcentral's name for it is "eukaryotic LSU rRNA". It matches the Rfam family "Eukaryotic large subunit ribosomal RNA", at positions 651 to 1482 of the family's 3401-position model. Lineage: Eukaryota; Metazoa; Platyhelminthes; Fecampiida; Fecampiidae. The record is from RNAcentral.